Molecule: ribosomal RNA, 468 nt
Filed under: uncultured bacterium
Lineage: Bacteria
Description: partial 16S ribosomal RNA
Rfam family: Bacterial small subunit ribosomal RNA
Source: RNAcentral
GACGAACGCUGGCGGCGUGCUUAACACAUGCAGUUCGAACGGAAAGGCCCUGCUUUUGGGGGGUGCUCGAGUGGCGAACGGGUGAGUAACACGUGAGUAACCUGCCCUUGACUUUGGGAUAACUUCGGGAAACGGGGGCUAAUACCGGAUGGGAGUUCCGCCUGCAUGGGGGGGUUGGGAAGGUUUCGGCGGUUGGGGAUGGACUCGCGGCUUAUCAGCUUGUUGGUGGGGUAGUGGCUUACCAAGGCUUUGACGGGUAGCCGGCCUGAGAGGGUGACCGGCCACAUUGGGACUGAGAUACGGCCCAGACUCCUACGGGAGGCAGCAGUGGGGAAUAUUGCACAAUGGGCGGAAGCCUGAUGCAGCAACGCCGCGUGCGGGAUGACGGCCUUCGGGUUGUAAACCGCUUUCGCCUGUGACAAAGCGUGAGUGACGGUAAUGGGUAAAGAAGCACCGGCUAACUACGUG